AUUGAACGCUGGCGGCAUGCUUUACACAUGCAAGUCGAACGGCAGCGCGGGCUUCGGCCUGGCGGCGAGUGGCGAACGGGUGAGUAAUACAUCGGAACGUGCCCAGUAGUGGGGGAUAGCUCGGCGAAAGCCGGAUUAAUACCGCAUACGACCUGAGGGUGAAAGCGGGGGAUCUUCGGACCUCGCGCUAUUGGCGCGGCCGAUGGCAGAUUAGCUAGUUGGUGGGGUAAAGGCCUACCAAGGCGACGAUCUGUAGCUGGUCUGAGAGGACGACCAGCCACACUGGGACUGAGACACGGCCCAGGCUCCUACGGGAGGCAGCAGUGGGGAAUUUUGGACAAUGGGCGAAAGCCUGAUCCAGCAAUGCCGCGUGUGUGAUGAAGGCCUUCGGGUUGUAAAGCACUUUUGGCGGGAACGAAAAGGACUGUGCCAAUACCACGGUUCGAUGACGGUACCCGCAGAAUAAGCACCGGCUAACUACGUG
Molecule: ribosomal RNA, 484 nt
Filed under: uncultured bacterium
Lineage: Bacteria
Description: partial 16S ribosomal RNA
Rfam family: Bacterial small subunit ribosomal RNA
Source: RNAcentral